GGAGACUGUGGCUGAGGAGUAUAGCAUCUUCAUGGAUUGCAGAAGGUCCCAGGUUCAAUCCCUGGCAUCUCCA
This 73-nucleotide transfer RNA is filed under the name Sphaerodactylus townsendi. RNAcentral describes it as "tRNA-Ser". It matches the Rfam family "tRNA". From Rfam's summary of the family: Transfer RNA (tRNA) molecules are approximately 80 nucleotides in length. Their secondary structure includes four short double-helical elements and three loops (D, anti-codon, and T loops). Lineage: Eukaryota; Metazoa; Chordata; Lepidosauria; Squamata; Sphaerodactylidae. The record is from RNAcentral.